RNAcentral lists this ribosomal RNA (467 nucleotides) under uncultured bacterium. RNAcentral describes it as "partial 16S ribosomal RNA". It matches the Rfam family "Bacterial small subunit ribosomal RNA", at positions 28 to 507 of the family's 1533-position model. The record is from RNAcentral.
GACGAACGCUGGCGGCGUGCUUAACACAUGCAAGUCGAACGGAAAGGCCUCUUUCGGGGGGUACUCGAGUGGCGAACGGGUGAGUAACACGUGAGUAACCUGCCCUUGACUUUGGGAUAACUUCAGGAAACUGGGGCUAAUACCGGAUAGGAGCUCCUGCUGCAUGGUGGGGGUUGGAAAGUUUCGGCGGUUGGGGAUGGACUCGCGGAUUAUCAGCUUGUUGGUGGGGUAGUGGCUUACCAAGGCUUUGACGGGUAGCCGGCCUGAGAGGGUGACCGGCCACAUUGGGACUGAGAUACGGCCCAGACUCCUACGGGAGGCAGCAGUGGGGAAUAUUGCACAAUGGGUGGAAGCCUGAUGCAGCAACGCCGUGUGCGGGAUGACGGCCUUCGGGUUGUAAACCGCUUUCGCUCAUGACGAAGCUUUGUGUGACGGUAGUGGGUAAAGAAGCACCGGCUAACUACGUG